RNAcentral lists this ribosomal RNA (440 nucleotides) under uncultured bacterium. RNAcentral describes it as "partial 16S ribosomal RNA". It matches the Rfam family "Bacterial small subunit ribosomal RNA", at positions 338 to 795 of the family's 1533-position model. The record is from RNAcentral.
CCUACGGGCGGCAGCAGUAAGGAAUAUUGCUCAAUGGGCGAAACCCUGAACCAGCAACGCCGCGUGCAGGAUGAAGGUUCUCGGAUUUUAAAACUCUUUUUAUAGAGAAGUAAAUGGCGGUAUCUAACGAACAAGCCCCGGCUAACUCCGUGCCAGCAGCCGCGGUAAUACGGAGGGAGUAAGCGUUAUUCGGAAUCACUGGGCGUAAAGAGAGCGUAGGCGGGAUAGCAAGUCAGAUGUGAACUCCUAUGGCUUAACCAUAGAACUGCAGGUGAAACUGUUAUUCUGGAGUAUGGGGGAGGUAGGUGGAAUUCGUGGUGUAGGGGUGAAAUGCGUAGAGAUGAAGAGGAAUCCUGAUUGCGAAGGCGGCCUGCUGGAGCGGAACUGACGCUGAUGCGCGAAAGCGUGGGGAGCAAACAGGAUUAGAUACCCUGGUAGUC